Molecule: long non-coding RNA, 7556 nt
Filed under: Sus scrofa (pig)
Lineage: Eukaryota; Metazoa; Chordata; Mammalia; Artiodactyla; Suidae
Description: lncRNA (ENSSSCG00015004367.1)
Source: RNAcentral
CUGACAACAAUAUGGUGAGACUUCCCUCCCUCUGGCUCGGGGCCACAGGCACCAUCAGAGCACACACCACGUACUAGGAGUGGGCAGAAUAGCAGGAAAAGGUCAGACUGAACACUUCCUUCUUUUGAAAGAAAUACACCUUAGCUCAGGUGCUUGUCUGUUGAGCAGAGAACAUAUCUGUGAGGCAUUUGUCAAACAAGCAGUGCCGCCGAGGGUGGGAUGUGGAACUCCUAACCAGGACAAGUCGGUCACAAGUGACCCUCCUUGAUAAUGAUGAGCAAUCCUAACAAAAGAGGAUCUUAGGGGGAAAGAGCCAUCUCACCCCGGAGUGGUGAUAAAGGAGAAAGGGAAAGUGCUAGGCAAUGUAUAAUAUUUGGAUCUGUUUAUCUUGAGUGAGAAGGAAAACAGGAAUGAAUGGGCCUCAGAGGGCCAUGUGACAUCCCCCGUCAGGAGGUCUUACAGGGACAGGGCAAGUGUCCAGGCCUCAUUUGAGAAGAUGCAGCAAAUGCCAAUUCUCCUUUGCCUCCUUGGAAUUUGUAUCCUUCACUGUAAGAGGUUUCUUCAUUUAAAAAUGCGAGGAAUAGAAAAUGAAUAAUUAAAAAACUUUUAAUUUUACAAAUUAAAAGAUAAAAUGGUUGGAGUUCCCUGAUGGCUCAGCAGGUUGAGGAUCCAGCAUUGUCACUUCUGUGGCACGGGUUCAAUCCCUUGCCCUGGAACUUCCACAUGCCUCUGGCAUGGCCAAAAUAAAAAAGGAUAUUGUUAUGUUUUCCAUUAUCUUCUGCUCUGGACAUCACCCACAGCUAGCUGGUUCCUUAUCUAUUCUACUGUCUAAGUUAUCUUCAGGGAAAAUCUGGAUCCCUUGGGAGGCAAAGCAUAUAAUAAGGAGUCUCUUAUUCAUUUUAAUUGCCCAUUUCUCUUAUCUAUUAUGAACACAAUGUCACAAAUAAAUAAACAUUCAAAAAUCCUACCACUCAAAUAACACAGACAUAAUUACACAUGUCCCACAAAUAUUUGUUUAUAAUCUACAUGGUGUUUACAGGUCAUAGUCAUCAUUUUUAAGCUACAUGUCUUUAUGUUAAGAACCACACAUACAGAAAAGAGGACACAUCUUGAAUAGAUGGCCCAAUGAAUUUUCGGGAUUAAACACACCCACAAUAACAAACAUCCUCAAAUAGAACAUUACCCAAAGCCCAGAGCUCUCCUCAUUUCCUCUCCAGUUACUACCCAAAGCCCCACAGUUACUCGGGAUCCUGACCCCUUUUACCGCGAAUCAGCUUUGGCGACUGUGUAAAUGGAAUCAAGCAACAUACAUGCUUUCCUGUCUGGCUGCUUCAUGCAACAUUGUGAGAUUCAUUUUUGUUAUUGCAUGGGACAGUAGUUUGUUCGUGUUCAUUGCCAUAAAUGAUUCCUUUGUAUGACAUAUGGAUAAUUUUUCCAUCUAUUCCACAACUGGACAUUUGAGUAGUUUCCAGUCUGGGGCUAUUAUGAAUAGUAUUCCAUGAAUAUUCUCACAAAUGUUUUGGUUCAACAUGUACAAAUUUGUUAAGUAUCUAAGAGUGGAAUUGUUAAAUCAUAUGUUCAGCUACAGUAGAUAGUGUUAAACGGUUUUCAAAAUUGGUUUUAACAAAUUACAUAUCAUUGAUUCACAUCUUUGCCCACUGAUUCAUAUCUUUGCCCAUACUUGGUGAUAUCAGUCUUUUUAUUUUAUUUUAUCUUAUUUUAUUUUAUUUUGGCCAUGCCCAUGGCACGUGGAAGUUCUCGGGCCAGGGAUCAAACCCACACCACAGCAGCAACCAGAGCCAUAGCAGCGACAGCACUAGAUCUUUAACUUGCUGUACCACAAGAGAACUCCUCAGCUUUUUUAAAUUUCAGCAUAUCCAGUGAGUCUGUACAUGUAUGUCAUUGUGGUUUUUUGAAUGCCAUUUUCAUGAUGAUUCUUUGUUUUUACACAUUAUAGAUCAUCCUUUGAAGUCCUAUCUAGUCUUUUGAGUCUUCUGAUUCUUCCUUUUCUGGUAUGGAAUUUUUAAAAUAUACACAAAAGCAAAAUAUGAUAUGUACACACAAAGGAAUAACAUUCACCCUUUUAAAAGAAGGAAGUUUAGGAGUUCCCUGGUGGCCUAACGGGUUAGGGAUUCAGUGUUAUCACUUUCGUGGUUCUUUCGAUCUCUGGCCCUGAAACUUCCACAUGCCCCAGGUAUGGCCGAAAGAAAGAAAGAACCUUUUUUUUUCUUUUUCAGCCACCCCAUGGCAUAUGGAAGUUUCCAAGCCAGGUAUGGGAUCUGAGCCAGAGCUGCGAUCUAUACCACAGCUGCAGCAAUGCUAGAUCAUUAACCCACUGCACCACGUCAGGAACUCCCAGAAAAAAGUACCUAUCUUUAAAUGAACAGAUUGGCCUUCUGGACAUGACGGUUUUAUUUUAUUUAUUCAUUUGUUUGUUUGUUUUGAAGGAUGUUACAGAAAUAGGAAAACUGACCUUCCUCUUAGUUCUAUAAUUCUAGAAGAUUUUUCCUGACAGUUGAGUCUUGGGCUGAAUAUGGACUGUGAUUAUCUUUGACCUCUUUGUAGUGACUUUUUGAAAGUGUUUCCCCUCCCCUAUGAAGGUCUGGGAGCUAGGUGGUGUUUUCAGAUCAUUCAUAGCCGUGACCCUACAUGCCUAGGUUAGGCCACCAAAAAAUUGCUUUAGGUGUCAUAUGCCAUUGUUGAGAAUAAACUGUGAUUGAAACAGACCGAUUUCAUGGAUGCCUGUUAGUGUGCCAGCUUUCUUAGAGACUUGGUGCUAUAGAUGAAUGUUCAUGUCCCCUCAAAUUCAUAUGUUGAAAUCUACUCCCUAAUGUGGUGGUAUAUGAAGGCAGGAUCAUUGGUGAUGAUUAGGUGGCUGGGUGGAGCAAUCAGUGAGAGGAUUAGUGCCCUUAUAAUGGAGACCCUGGAGAGCUCCUCCACCUCUUCUGCUAGGCCGAAUACAGCAAGGGGACAGCAUCUAUGAGCCAGGAAGCAGGCCCUCCCCAGACACAGACUCUGCUGGCCUUGAUCACGGACCCCCAGCCUCCAGAACUGUGAGAAAUAAAUGCUGUUUAAGCUACCCAAUCCUGUCGAUUUUUGCUAUAUAGCAGCCUGAGGGGAUUAAGAUAUGCCUCACCUUCUCCACCUCAACUAUAAUCUUUGACCAAGUCCUUUCUCUGGUAUCGCCCAUUUGAACUGCUACUCACUCCCCACUAAAGGCCACAGUCAGAAUUAGAUACCAAUGGUUUGUUUCUCUGGGCGACCCCUGGCCCAGUCCUAUUCCAGCCAUGGAAUCCCCCAUCCAGAGCCAAGUGAGAGCUUUCCUCAUUCAAGCCAUUUCCUGUCUGAAACAGAAACCAAGUCAAUGACUGCCCUAAACACUGUGGUCACUUUCAAGGAGGAUAGGAAUCAGCUUGGUGUAAAGGGCCCUUUUAUGGUUAUUUUUACUUUUGGGGGGCCCACACCCUUGGCAUGUGGAAGUUCCUGGCCCAGGAUUGAAUCUGAGCCACAGCAGGGACAACGCCAGAUCCUUAACUUGCUAGGCCACUAGGGAACUCCUGGUUAUUUUUACUUUUAUUAGAGCCUUGUCAGGAAACAUUGUUUUAUUUUUUUUUAUUGCUGUAUAGUUGAUUCACAAUGUUAAUUUCAGCUGUACAGCAAAGUGACUCAUUUAUGCAUACAUAUAAAUUCUUUUUUGAAAUAUUACUUUCCAUUAUAGUUUAUCCUAGGACAUUGAAUAUAGUUCCCUAUGCUAUACAGUAGGAUCUUGUCUAUCCCCUCCUUGGGUGAUAGCUUAAAUCUGCUAACCCCAACCUCCCAUUCCAUCUCUCCCCUAACCCCCACCCCUUUGGCAACAAGUCUGUUCUUGUCUGUGAGUCUUGUUUCUACUUCACAGAGGGGUUCAUUAGGAAAACAUUAUUUUAAUAGGCACUAAACCCAAGCUUAUUUUUAACCUAUUUAGGUCGCCAAUACUCUUCAACUUGAAGUAUUUAAGGCAAUUUGUACAGUCAGGUCUAAAUGCAAAGUACAAUUGUAAACCUUUCACUGAUUUUGGAGAAAAAUUUAUGCCAAAAUAUGCUAUCAGCUAUGUUCAAAUAGAUGAUUUCUAAGAUCCACUGUAGGUUUAGAAUGCUCUGAUUGUUAUGAAGUAAUAAAAAUGGAGACCACAGAGGAGAGAAGUGCAGUUACUUUCCCUGUUCUACACAUGAGACAACUAAGUCCUAGAAAGGAUGAAUAGACUGCUGCCAGGAUUCCCCAUGCCAGGAUUCUGAUUCUGGCUCCAAUGCACACACGUUCAACACCACUGCUCUCUGUAAAGGACACUGCCAUCCUCAUGUACCCAGCUAGACUGAAAGGAAAAAGGCAUCAGGCCUAAGCAAGAAUAUAGAUUGGAUAGAAAAAUGCACCACCAAUAAGAGUUAACAAGCCAUGGGAAAUGCUACUAUAAUGAAGCUAUGCCAUAUUUAAAGAGAUAGUACAUAUUCCUAUCUAGUGACAAUCAAGCGGGUGAACUUGCCUAAAUCAGAGACUAAAGGGACAGUGGAAGAACUUUUCAUUCUGAAGUUCUACAUCUAGUGAGGCCCAAGAGAGUCUAAUCUGUUUACCCACUGAAAGUGUUACUCAAAUACAGUUUCUACAGGAAGAGACUCAGUUACUUUAUCACUGUUUUGUCUGGCACAGAGAAGAUGAGAAAUAUUUACUGACUGUCCAGCUGGUUGAAUUCAAACAUGCUCUGGCAUAUUUUGGUGGGCAGAUGAAGUGGGCUAGCAAUGAUUUUAUUGAGAUGUGGGCUUGAUAUGAAAUAACUGAAUUAGUUGGGAGUGAUUGUAGAAGCCGUUGGGAUAAGACUCCCCAGACAGAUGGGAGGAAACCAUGGCUAUAGCCCUUGGCCCCAGGAGGAGAGCAUCAGGGUGGCUAAGUUUAGUAUGAUGGUCUUAACUGAGCUGUGGGGAAAAGAAUAGUUUACAUGCACAGUUCUGCAUCUAAAUUGGGUUUGGUGGGAGGAGGGAGGAAGUGGGAUAGAUGAGGAGGUUGGGGUUGGUGGAUGCACACUAUUGAAUCUGGAAUGGAUAAGCAGUGAGGUCCAGCUGUAUAGUAUAGGGAACUAUAUCCAAUCUCUUGGGGUAAAACAUGAUAGAGGACAGUAUGAGAAAAAGACCAUAUAUAUAUGUGUGUGUGUGUGUGUGUAUUUAUAUGUAGAUAUGUGUGUAUACACAGACACACACAACCCUAUAUAUGACUGGGCCACUAUGCUAUACAGCAGAAAUUUACACAAUACCACAACACUAUAAAUCAACUAUACUCUAAUAAAAAUAAAAUUAAAUUUUAAAAAAUCUUAGCCUUGAAAUAAAUAAGUAAAUAAAUUGGGUUUGGGAUGCACCUUAAGGGAAUUUGGGGCCAGUUUCCAAGAAGCAAAGGACUUCAUGAUCUAAAACAUUAGGUAGAGGGAGUUCCCAUCAUGGCACAGCGGAAACGAAUCCAACUAGGAACCAUGAGGUUGUCGGUUCGAUCCCUGGCCUCUCUCAUGGGUUAAGGAUCCAGCGUUGCUGUGGCUGUGGCAUAGGCUGGCAGCUACAGCUCUGAUUUGACCCCUAGCCUGAGAACCUCCAUAUGCCGUGAGUGUGGCCCUAAAAAGACAAAAUAAUAAUAAUAAUAAUAAUAAUAAUAAUAAAAUAUCAGGUAGUGAAAAAGUGGACCAUGAGUCUUUGGGAAGCUGGAAGCACAAAGUCGUUUGUUUCCAGCCUCAUUUCAGAACUUAGCAUGAAAGGAGGGAGAACCUUCUUUCCAUGACUCAUGGGAGAUGUUGGUGAUGCCAACAACUGUCAAUCAAAAUGGAUGAACAAGGUGGAGGCUAAAGGAAAAGUUUUAACGGUCAUUUGAAUGGAUGGUCUCUUGGAAACCAAAGCUCAAGCAGAAUGUCAGGAGCAACAGAGAGAAGAAGAGGUGGUUCCUUGAGUAUAAGAGGUCUGCAGCUUACUGGCUAUGACAUCUUGGUUCACCUGUCCUACUGCAACCAACUGACUCAAUCUCUGGGGCCUGUCUCCUACACGAGACAUCCUGGAACCAGGCUGGACAUUGGGAAGCUUUCUCUGUAUCUUCUGAUCCUUUCAAGAAGCAAUAUCCUUCAUCUUUACUGGAAAGUAUCUGGAUAAGUCUGCCAUUUGGGAACACAUGCCAUUAUCAGAGAACAGUGGAAAACAGGCUACUCUUGAAGUGUCCUCUUUAAAAACCUCCUAUAUUCAAAUGACUACAGGUGAAAAGUCUGACAAAAGAAAUUAACAUUUAUUUAUAUUAGCAACGACUUUGUUAUUUCCUCAAGGGACCCAGAGAAGAAAUUUGUCUUAUGUCUCAGUACCAAGAACAGUUUUGCUUCCUCCAAGCAGCUCUUUUUCUUUUAUGGUAUUUGAGCUGUGAAUCAUGGAACAGGUACAUGAAAAGGUGCUCUGCAUCACUGAUCAUCAGCGAAAUGCAAAACCACAAUAAGAUAUCACCUCCCCCCUGUGAAGGUGUCUAUUAUCAAAAAGAUGAGAGGUAACACAUGCUGACAAGGAUGUGGAGAAAAGGGAUCCCUUGUGCACUGUUGGUGGGAAUGUAAACUGGUGCAGCCACUGGAAAUGAGUGUGGAGGUUCCCCAAGAAAUUAAAAAUAGAACUACCCUAUGAUCUAGCAAUGCCACUUUUGUGUAUACAUCCAAAGGAACCAAAAAUCAUUAUGUCCGAGAUGUCUGUACUCCCAGCAUUCAUGGCAGCAUUAUUCACAAUAGCCAAGGUACGGAAGCAACCUAAGUGCCCAUCAACAAAGUGAUGGAUAAAGAAAAUGGGGUGUAUAUAUGGAAUAUUACUUAGCCUUAAAAAAAGAAGCCCUGUCAUUUGCACCAACAUUGAUGAAUCUGGAAAGGAUUAUGCUAGGUGAAAUAAGCCAGACAAAGAAGGACAAACACUGCAUGGUAUCACUUAUAGAUGGUAUCUUAAAAAAAAAAAAAAAGUCAAAUUCAUAGAAACAGAGAGUAGGAAAGUGGUUGCCAGGAGUUGGGGGUUGUGGAAAGUAGGAAGAGCCUGGUAAAAAGGGUACAGACUUUCAGUUGUAAGAUGAAUAAGCUCUAAAGAUCUAAUGUGUAAAAUGGUGAGUACAGUUGCUAAUACUGGAUCAUAUAAUUGAAAUUUGCUGAGAGAGUAAAACAAAUUUUCUCACCAAAAAAGUAAACACCUGAAGUUCCUGUUGUGGUGCAGUGGGUUGAGUCUGACUGCGGCAACUCAGGUCACUGCAGAGGCUUGGGUUUGAUCCACGACCCAACUCAGUGGGUUAAAGGAUCCAAUGCUGCUGCAGCUGCUGCCUGGAUUCAGUCCCUAGCCAGGGAAUUUCCAUAUGCCACUAGUGCAUCCAUUAAAAAAAGAGAGAGAGAAAGAAAGACAAAUGCCUCAAGUGAUGGAUGUAUCAAUAACUCUCCAUGGGGAGGAUCCUCUCACAAUAUAUCUGCAUAUCAAAUCAUCAUGUUGUAUACUUUAAAUAUCUUAUAAUUUUAUUGAUCAGUUAUACCUCAAUAAAGUGGAAAAAAA